CGGUGUGUGAAUGGCCUGGAACAG
This 24-nucleotide microRNA is filed under the name Gallus gallus (chicken). RNAcentral describes it as "microRNA Ros-gga". Lineage: Eukaryota; Metazoa; Chordata; Aves; Galliformes; Phasianidae. The record is from RNAcentral.